Molecule: ribosomal RNA, 253 nt
Filed under: uncultured bacterium
Lineage: Bacteria
Description: partial 16S ribosomal RNA
Rfam family: Bacterial small subunit ribosomal RNA
Source: RNAcentral
UACGUAGGGUGCAAGCGUUGUCCGGAAUUAUUGGGCGUAAAGAGCUCGUAGGCGGUUUGUCGCGUCUGCUGUGAAAAUCCAGGGCUUAACCCUGGACCUGCAGUGGGUACGGGCAGACUGGAGUGCGGUAGGGGAGAUCGGAAUUCCUGGUGUAGCGGUGAAAUGCGCAGAUAUCAGGAGGAACACCGGUGGCGAAGGCGGAUCUCUGGGCCGCAACUGACGCUGAGGAGCGAAAGCAUGGGGAGCGAACAGG